CAUAUAUGUAGCUUUAUAUGUAUGUGUACACUUUUUGCCUAACAAAUUUAUUGAUAUUUAACCACACAAAGCAAAGGUAGUGAAAUAAAACUAGAAUGUAAACUCUUUACUACAUGGUUUGACAUAUGUUGAACUGUAUAUGCAGUAAUUUAUAACAGAAAUAAUCUUCCCUUCAACUACUUUCUAAGGUCAUUCAUAAUGCAUACACAAAUGUGCACACCUAUUGUCAUGUGCACAUACACAAACAUAUACAUACAUGUGCAAAAAUAUACACAAAACUGGAUUUUAACAAUGUGUUUUGUAACUGUUAUAGUAACUCCUAUUUUGGUCAUACUGAUUGUAAAAAUAAAUAGGGAAAAUGAAAAUUUUAAAGAAUUGCAGGAAGUUCAUGGUAAUUACGUAUAUUUCAGGAAAUUACAGUGGCCUAAGGAGGGAGGAAUGCUUCCAUCUGGUGUUUAUAAAUUGUUUCUAGGCAUUAAGGUCGGUUGAUUAGAGUAUGAAGUAACCAAGCUAAUGGGCAACUUCAUUCAUUUGCAGGGUUUUAGUGGGGGCACGCAACCUAUUUAUUGCCUCACAAAUCAAUGCUGUUAUCAUUAAUGGGUCAGCAUGAAAUUAGCAGUUAUUCAAAACUCACAGGUAUCAUGCUGAGAGACGUUACAGUAAAAGCAUGGUACCAGGUGCUCCCUUAGUAAAUUUAAGCUGCAAUCUUUUAGGAGAUGAGAGGAAAAUCUCCCAUGGGAGUGGCAAUGCCACCUGUCAUCCUGAUCUGCCACUGGAUUCACAGUUGAGUCCUAUGGAGAAUGGAAAGUUAGGCAGAGAUAGGUCACGUAUCCUUAGGCAAGCUCAUGUGGUAGUCACUGUGGCGAGCGUCAUGAGAACAGACCUCAUUAGCGGGCAAUGUCUAAAAGGUACAGUGCACUUUUAGGGGCUGCAGUUCAGACCAGGAGGGUCCCCCUUUGGCUGUUGAAGGGCAUGUAGGAUUCUGUACAUCCCUGGACCCUAAUAUAUAUAACCAUCUGAUAAGGAAGUUAGUUUUAAAUCUUUUGUUUUCAAGAAUGAAGAGUUUUUAAAACAUGUAUUUUGUGGGCUGGAGAUGUAGGUCAGUGGCAGUGUUCGCCUAACACGCACAAGGCCCUGGGUUUGAUUCACAGCGCCACAAAAAACCAAACCAAAACAAAACCCCCAAACAGUAUUUUGCCUGACUUCUCUUUAAAGGGAAUAUGGGUCAUUCUAUGAAAGCUCAUUACUGAGAACCCAGAAGUUACACCUAGGUAUUAGUCAAAAGUCUUUAAAGAGUCACCUCAUGUCAGAUUGCAUGUAUGAUCAACCAGAAACUAAAUCUCAUCAGAAACUCUUCACGCUAUCUGUAUUAUGUAGACAACAGCCAAGACCAUGG
Long non-coding RNA from Heterocephalus glaber (naked mole-rat), 1396 nucleotides. The record is from Ensembl. Lineage: Eukaryota; Metazoa; Chordata; Mammalia; Rodentia; Bathyergidae.